GAUGAACGCUGGCGGCGUGCCUAAUACAUGCAAGUCGAGCGAACGGACGAGAAGCUUGCUUCUCUGAUGUUAGCGGCGGACGGGUGAGUAACACGUGGAUAACCUACCUAUAAGACUGGGAUAACUUCGGGAAACCGGAGCUAAUACCGGAUAAUAUUUUGAACCGCAUGGUUCAAAAGUGAAAGACGGUCUUGCUGUCACUUAUAGGUGGAUCCGCGCUGCAUUAGCUAGUUGGUAAGGUAACGGCUUACCAAGGCAACGAUGCAUAGCCGACCUGAGAGGGUGAUCGGCCACACUGGAACUGAGACACGGUCCAGACUCCUACGGGAGGCAGCAGUAGGGAAUCUUCCGCAAUGGGCGAAAGCCUGACGGAGCGACGCCGCGUGAGUGAUGAAGGUCUUCGGAUCGUAAAACUCUGUUAUUAGGGAAGAACAUAUGUGUAAGUAACUGUGCACAUCUUGACGGUACCUAAUCAGAAAGCCACGGCUAACUACGUG
RNAcentral lists this ribosomal RNA (497 nucleotides) under uncultured bacterium. RNAcentral describes it as "partial 16S ribosomal RNA". It matches the Rfam family "Bacterial small subunit ribosomal RNA", at positions 28 to 507 of the family's 1533-position model. The record is from RNAcentral.